GACGAACGCUGGCGGCGUGCUUAACACAUGCAAGUCGAACGAAGUGGCGAACGGGUGAGUAACGCGUAAUCAACCUGCCCUUCAGAGGGUGACAACAGUUGGAAACGACUGCUAAUACCGCAUACUGAAGACGGGGAUUGCGUCUGAUUCGAUAGUUGGAGGGGUAACGGCCCACCAAGGCGAUGAUCAGUAGCCGGUCUGAGAGGGGGGCAGGCCAGAUUGGGACUGAGAUACGGCCCAGACUCCUACGGGAGGCAGCAGUGGGGGAUAUUGCACAAUGGGCGAGAGCCUGAUGCAGCGACGCCGCGGGAGGUAUGAAGGCUUUCGGGUUGUAAACCUCUUUCGGUACAGAACGGGUAUGUGCAGAAGAAGCGCCGGCUAACUACGUGCCAGCAGCCGCGGUAAUAC
Molecule: ribosomal RNA, 408 nt
Filed under: uncultured bacterium
Lineage: Bacteria
Description: partial 16S ribosomal RNA
Rfam family: Bacterial small subunit ribosomal RNA
Source: RNAcentral